UACGGAGGGUGCAAACGUUGCUCGGAAUUAUGGGGCGGAAAGCGCACGUAGGCGGCCGACUAAGUCGGGUGUGAAAGCCCAGGGCUCAACCCUGGAAGUGCACUCGAAACUGAUCGGCUUGAAUAUGGAAGAGGGUCGCGGAAUUCCCGGUGUAGAGGUGAAAUUCGUAGAUAUCGGGAGGAACACCAGUGGCGAAGGCGGCGACCUGGGCCAAUAUUGACGCUGAGGUGCGAAAGCGUGGGGAGCAAACAGG
Molecule: ribosomal RNA, 253 nt
Filed under: uncultured bacterium
Lineage: Bacteria
Description: partial 16S ribosomal RNA
Rfam family: Bacterial small subunit ribosomal RNA
Source: RNAcentral